Long non-coding RNA from Oryza sativa Japonica Group (Japanese rice), 1555 nucleotides. RefSeq lists it as uncharacterized. The record is from RefSeq and is a predicted model, not a curated record. NCBI's taxonomy places the organism in Eukaryota, Viridiplantae, Streptophyta, Magnoliopsida, Poales, Poaceae.
CAGCAUGGGACCCAUGUGGGUUCCACAUGUCAGGACACCACAUCAUCAGCUCUCUCUUUCCCCUUCUCUCCCUUCCCCCCAAAUCGGCCAGUGGUGGGGAGGAGGUCGCCGGGACGAGGAGGUCGGACGGCCGGCCGGUGAUGCGGCGGUGGCGGCGACACGGGAGAAGGGAAGGGAGGCAGUGGCGGGAGCACGGGGGAGAUCGAGCGUCGACGUACGACGCCGUCGUCGCGAGGAAGAAGGAGGCAGGGGGAAACGGGCGGCAGCGGGCGGACGAGCCGGAUGGUGAAUCGGCAGCGGUCGCGUGGGGAUGGCGAGGGGCGGGUGGCGGACUUGUGCUCCUCCUCCCGCUCGUUUUGUUCCUCUCGGCCCUCCUGCUCCCGGCCAUUGCCCUGUCCCGCUCGCGCCGCUUACCACCGUGCUCCGGGUGUCGAUCCACUGCGAGGGGUGCAAGAAGGUCAAGGAAGUGCUCCAGAACAUCGAAGGCCUGUAAAAGGUGGCGAGCGAUGCGGCGCAGCACAAGGUGACAGCGGCGAGCGAUGCGGCAACAAUGCGCUCAUCAGGUGGCUUCUCAUGUCAGGGAAGCACACCACGGUGUGGCCGUCUCCACCGAUCGCCGCGGUGAAAAAAACCCGACGAGGUCCAUGGAGCGUGUCGUCGUACUACCCGCCGCUGCCGCAGAUUUCGCCUGUAGCAUAUCCGCCGCUCAGCCACUUCCUCCGGUGUCAUCCCGCUGUAGCCCUGCCUCCUCGACGGCUAGCCCAACCUCAUCGUCCCGCCCCCACGCAUGCCUUCUCCCAGCGGCGCCGAUGAGCCCCAAUCUACCGCAUCGUCGUCUUCCGUCGAGGAAGGCGGAAGCCACGGCCGCCGACGACUCCUACCAGCGCCGGAGCAGCGGAAGCGGAGGCCGAGAGUUCGGAUGGGAGGAGGCCGACUAAGGACGACAGGAUUCAUCGCCGCGUGCUCUCGAGCAUGAGCUGAGGCCGGGGGAGACCGGAGGCCGCCGCCGGCGCCUCUUCACCGUCCUCCCACCGCCCACCGCCGUAGUCGUCCCAACCCGCCCUCCCGUCUUCCCCGAGGCCCGUCGUCCCGCGCUCAGCCCCAUCACGCCGCUCGUGGCCGACCCCUUCAACUGGUCACCGGCAUCGGCGUCACCGAAGGAGGCCGUGGCCAUAGCACAGAGAAGGGAAGAGUGAGAGAGAGAGGAGGAAGGGAGAGAGAUGACGUGGCAUACGUAGGAUAAAACCGGGAUCAAAACCAUCGAAGAAUCUAUUGUGACCGAUUUUAAUUAGUUAAGAAACACCGAAUAUCUGGUUUUGUGGUUGGGGAUGAUUUUGUAACUCGAUGACAAGUUGAGGGACCUUGGAUGUACUUUUUCCUUUCAUCUUUCCACCAUGGUGCUGUACUGCUGUGCAUCAAUCGGCGGCGGCCGACGGGCCGGGGCGCUGCCAUGUCAACACGCCUCUCCUCGGUUUUUCCUGGUUCCGCUCCUUGCUUCAUUCUCUCCCGCUGCUAACGAUCUCUUCUUUCCAUCAAUUUUCUACCUUUUUCUUUU